RNAcentral lists this ribosomal RNA (497 nucleotides) under uncultured bacterium. RNAcentral describes it as "partial 16S ribosomal RNA". It matches the Rfam family "Bacterial small subunit ribosomal RNA", at positions 28 to 507 of the family's 1533-position model. The record is from RNAcentral.
GAUGAUCGCUGGCGGCGUGCCUAAUACAUGCAAGUCGAGCGAACGGACGAGAAGCUUGCUUCUCUGAUGUUAGCGGCGGACGGGUGAGUAACACGUGGAUAACCUACCUAUAAGACUGGGAUAACUUCGGGAAACCGGAGCUAAUACCGGAUAAUAUUUUGAACCGCAUGGUUCAAAAGUGAAAGACGGUCUUGCUGUCACUUAUAGAUGGAUCCGCGCUGCAUUAGCUAGUUGGUAAGGUAACGGCUUACCAAGGCAACGAUGCAUAGCCGACCUGAGAGGGUGAUCGGCCACGCUGGAACUGAGACACGGUCCAGACUCCUACGGGAGGCAGCAGUAGGGAAUCUUCCGCAAUGGGCGAAAGCCUGACGGAGCAACGCCGCGUGAGUGAUGAAGGUCUUCGGAUCGUAAAACUCUGUUAUUAGGGAAGAACAUAUGUGUAAGUAACUGUGCACAUCUUGACGGUACCUAAUCAGAAAGCCACGGCUAACUACGUG